RNAcentral lists this ribosomal RNA (253 nucleotides) under uncultured bacterium. RNAcentral describes it as "partial 16S ribosomal RNA". It matches the Rfam family "Bacterial small subunit ribosomal RNA", at positions 524 to 776 of the family's 1533-position model. The record is from RNAcentral.
UACGGAGGGUGCAAGCGUUAAUCGGAAUUACUGGGCGUAAAGCGUGCGCAGGCGGUGAUGUAAGACAGUUGUGAAAUCCCCGGGCUCAACCUGGGAACUGCAUCUGUGACUGCAUCGCUGGAGUACGGUAGAGGGGGAUGGAAUUCCGCGUGUAGCAGUGAAAUGCGUAGAUAUGCGGAGGAACACCGAUGGCGAAGGCAAUCCCCUGGACCUGUACUGACGCUCAUGCACGAAAGCGUGGGGAGCAAACAGG